This 404-nucleotide ribosomal RNA is filed under the name uncultured bacterium. Its description in RNAcentral is "bacterial SSU rRNA". It matches the Rfam family "Bacterial small subunit ribosomal RNA", at positions 29 to 416 of the family's 1533-position model. The record is from RNAcentral.
AACGAACGCUGGCGGCGUGCCUAACACAUGCAAGUCGUGCGAGAGAGUUCCUUCGGGAGCGAGUAAAGCGGCGCACGGGUGAGUAACACGUAGGUAACCUGCCCCCCAGUCUGGAACAACUAGAGGAAACUCUAGCUAAUGCCGGAUGAGACCACGAUCCCUUCGGGGGUUGCGGCCAAAGAUGGCCUCUACUUGUAAGCUAUCGCUGAGGGAUGGGCCUGCGGGCCAUUAGCUUGUUGGUGAGGUAACGGCUCACCAAGGCUGUGAUGGCUAGCUGGUCUGAGAGGAUGACCAGCCACACUGGGACUGAGACACGGCCCAGACUCCUACGGGAGGCAGCAGUGGGGAAUAUUGCGCAAUGGGCGAAAGCCUGACGCAGCGACGCCGCGUGGGUGAUGAAGGCC